GGUUUGGUGGUCUAGUGGUAUGAUUCUCGCUUAGGGUACACCCUACAGCAUGUAUGCGAGAGGUCCCGGGUUCAAUCCCCGGCCAAACCC
This 90-nucleotide transfer RNA is filed under the name Hypoxylon crocopeplum. RNAcentral describes it as "tRNA-Pro". It matches the Rfam family "tRNA". From Rfam's summary of the family: Transfer RNA (tRNA) molecules are approximately 80 nucleotides in length. Their secondary structure includes four short double-helical elements and three loops (D, anti-codon, and T loops). Further hydrogen bonds mediate the characteristic L-shaped molecular structure. tRNAs have two regions of fundamental functional importance: the anti-codon, which is responsible for specific mRNA codon recognition, and the 3' end, to which the tRNAs corresponding amino acid is attached (by aminoacyl-tRNA synthetases). tRNAs cope with the degeneracy of the genetic code in two manners: having more than one tRNA (with a specific anti-codon) for a particular amino acid; and 'wobble' base-pairing, i.e. permitting non-standard base-pairing at the 3rd anti-codon position. Lineage: Eukaryota; Fungi; Ascomycota; Sordariomycetes; Xylariales; Hypoxylaceae. The record is from RNAcentral.